Molecule: long non-coding RNA, 1956 nt
Organism: Hemibagrus wyckioides
Lineage: Eukaryota; Metazoa; Chordata; Actinopteri; Siluriformes; Bagridae
Exons: 3
Source: RefSeq, a predicted model, not a curated record
AGCCAGUCCACUCAGAGGGUCUGGAGGAGUGCUGGAGGAGACGCUGUCAGGGGGAGGGACCACGUCUACUGAACCGGAGGAGGAGAGCGACAUGGGAGUGGGAGGAGAAGCAGGAGGUGCCUGUACAGAGGGACAGAUGGCACAGUGGGUGCAGGUCCAGUAUCCCUGGUUCAUCCUGAUCAGCCUCCAGAAUCCACCAGAAGCAUGACCAGGAGAAAGCUGUUACUGGAGAUGAGUGGAUUAAUUACAAAUAUAAUUUGUUUUUGUUCUUUUCUCAGUACCAGGGAAGAACUAUAACUAUCUAGUCUGUGGCAAUCGCACACCCACUACAGAUUUGGAAAAAUAGAGCACAGGUCAGAAAAACAUGCUCAUGAAUUACUUAGUGGUUCUACUGAUAACUGACACAAUCAUUUUUUGUGAGAUUAAGAUUUCGGUUAAACACAGAAAUCACAUGUCCUCUGACCAGGGGUUAUUAAAAAAUACACAUAGCCUGCAGAAAACCCAUUGAAAACACACAAGGCCUACACACACACACACACACAAGCAUUCGCACAGCUCUUUCGCACUGGCUGGGAAAAAAACAGGUCAGUAAGAACGGUCAGAGAUCUACACACACUGGAGUACAUUGUUCUGAUUAACACUUAAACUAAUCACAAACCCAGACGCUAAACCACACAAACACAUAGGAUCCUACUUUACAACCAAACAUUUCUACAAGUCUUUUGAACAGGAUGGGGGAAAAGGAUCGUGAGAGACUUCUGUCCAUCUAGAGACGGAUAAACUACACGACAGGACGGACAUCUUCACCUGCUCGCUCUGGCUUGAGUGCACUCUGAUCAUCUCCUUAUAGCGGAAACUCAUCAGCUCCUGCUGCUGUGUGCGCUUUUUCUACAAAGAGCACCUCGAUAUACAUCAUAAAGAAAGAAAACGUCAUCCUAAACAGACCCUGGUGGCAGAGGUGUGGCCUGAACCCCCUGUAUACCAGGGCAAACAUUUUCCAAAAUAAAUCGCUAAUAAUUUCCACUUAAAAUACACUGAAUUUGUUUUUUGAGUAACAAAAAAAUACUGUUUUCUAGCUACAUUAGCUAUCCUAGUCUCUAUCGAUAACCCAAGGUAAUCAACAUAAGAAAAGAGACAAAGCUUUCACAAACAAACUACAUGAAGAGUGGUGUCCAAAUGAAUUUACGGCCAGUCAACGAUAAGGUUGAAAUAGUUUGUUUACCUUCUUAGAGUUGUAGCUUAAAUAAUCUAGCUGGUUAAAUCAGUCCUAGCCUGCUUAAUAAUAUUCAUUAGCUAGCUAAAUCAGACAGAAGUAGACCUAGCAUAGAAAAGUUUUUUAUAAAAACAAAACAGGAAAAUGACUGACUAGCAUUAGAUAGGUAACUAGCUAGUUAGCAGGUUCAAGAUGGAGGUCAAGGCCACCAGUGUAUCGAUCUUUCAUCAUUUUGUGAGUAAAGAUUAAGCGAUAAGACAAAAACGACAGCAACAAAAAUGUCAGGCAACACCUCAUCCCCAUGGUAAUAAUCUGUAAUAAUUUCCUAUUUCUAAUAAUCAAACAAUCACAGCACUGACUUUCAGUCACCUUUAGUUCAGUCUAAAUGCAGUAGUUCUGGUGCUGGAAAGUCAGAAUCUAGUACACUUUUCCAGACUCUUCCAGGACCCGAACUGAGGAACUCUGCUCUAAGAUUUUGUUUCAGUGUGUACCUGUCUCCAUGCAGGAAGAGAAGCUGGAGCCACAGGCUCAGCUGGAGGUUCAGGUAGAGAAGGAGCAGAUGGAAUUUGCUUCAGAUUGGGCAUGGAGCCGCACUGACACCAACAGACAAGAAUACAAAGAUAAGAGCUACAGAGCUGAGUGUAACAUUAUAGUGUGUGUGUGUGUGUGUGUGUGGUGUCCUGCAACAGAUAAACAUCCAUUUUAGGAUGAUUCCUGCCUCACACCCGAUAUUUCCGGGAAAG